GCGAGAGUGGUGGAAUUGGUAGACACGCCAGCCUUAGGAGCUGGUGCGUAAGCGUAAGGGUUCGAGUCCCUUCUCUCGCA
This 80-nucleotide transfer RNA is filed under the name Spirochaetia bacterium. Its description in RNAcentral is "tRNA-Leu". It matches the Rfam family "tRNA". From Rfam's summary of the family: Transfer RNA (tRNA) molecules are approximately 80 nucleotides in length. Their secondary structure includes four short double-helical elements and three loops (D, anti-codon, and T loops). The record is from RNAcentral. Lineage: Bacteria; Pseudomonadati; Spirochaetota; Spirochaetia.